UUCAGACGAUGCGUCAUGCAUAUCAAUAAGCGGAGGAAAAGAAAAUAACAAGGAUUUCCCUAGUAACGGCGAGUGAAGCAGGGAAGAGCUCAAAUUUGAACCUCUUGACUUAGGUUUAAUGCCGAAUUGUACUGUAAGAACGUGUUUUCUAGUGCAAGUCUGAGUUAAAAGUCCUUUGGAACUAGGACAUCAUAGAGGGUGAGAAUCCCGUCUUUGACUCGAUUAUUUUGUCUUUUAGUGAUACACUUUUCCAAGAGUCAGGAUUGUUUGGGAAUGCAGUCCUAAAAUUGGGUGGUAAAUCUCAUCUAAAGCUAAAUAUUGGCGAGAGACCGAUAGCGAACAAGUACCGUGAGGGAAAGAUGAAAAGAACUUUGAAAAGAGAGUUAAACAGUACGUGAAAUUGUCAAAAGGGAAGCGUUUGACACCAGUGUUGUUUUCUCGAAAAUCAAUUAAAAAGAGUUAGAUUUUGUUGUGUAUUGACCUUAACAGCUUGCAUUUCAAUUUUCUUGCUUUUUUUAAUGCACUUUUCGUUUAACAAGUCAACAUCAGUUUCUUUUGUUGUAAAAAGGUCAUUGGAAGGUGGCUUUCUUUUCGGAGAAAGUGUUUAUAGCCUUUGACUCCUGCAAUCGGAGAGACUGAGGUCUGCAGCGUAGAUCCUUCGGGGUUAGAUACAUUUGUGCUAAGUUAUAGCUUUUUAUAGACAACUUGUUGACUAUGAUUAGUCUUGUAGCUUACUCGCUUAUGCUAUUUUACCUACGCUUAGGAUGUUGAGUCGUAGAGCACGCAG
RNAcentral lists this ribosomal RNA (787 nucleotides) under uncultured Neocallimastigales. RNAcentral's name for it is "partial large subunit ribosomal RNA". It matches the Rfam family "Eukaryotic large subunit ribosomal RNA", at positions 18 to 622 of the family's 3401-position model. Lineage: Eukaryota; Fungi; Neocallimastigomycota; Neocallimastigomycetes; Neocallimastigales. The record is from RNAcentral.